GACGAACGCUGGCGGCGCGCCUAACACAUGCAAGUCGAACGAGCGAGAGAGAGCUUGCUUUCUCGAGCGAGUGGCGAACGGGUGAGUAACGCGUGAGGAACCUGCCUCAAAGAGGGGGACAACAGUUGGAAACGACUGCUAAUACCGCAUAAGCCCACGGCUCGGCAUCGAGCAGAGGGAAAAGGAGUGAUCCGCUUUGAGAUGGCCUCGCGUCCGAUUAGCUAGUUGGUGAGGUAACGGCCCACCAAGGCAACGAUCGGUAGCCGGACUGAGAGGUUGAACGGCCACAUUGGGACUGAGACACGGCCCAGACUCCUACGGGAGGCAGCAGUGGGGAAUAUUGCACAAUGGGGGAAACCCUGAUGCAGCGACGCCGCGUGAGUGAUGAAGUAUUUCGGUAUGUAAAACUCUAUCAGCAGGGAAGAUAAUGACGGUACCUGACUAGGAAGCACCGGCUAAAUACGUG
RNAcentral lists this ribosomal RNA (466 nucleotides) under uncultured bacterium. Its description in RNAcentral is "bacterial SSU rRNA". It matches the Rfam family "Bacterial small subunit ribosomal RNA", at positions 28 to 507 of the family's 1533-position model. The record is from RNAcentral.